This 72-nucleotide transfer RNA is filed under the name Acropora cervicornis. RNAcentral's name for it is "tRNA-Ala". The record is from RNAcentral. Lineage: Eukaryota; Metazoa; Cnidaria; Anthozoa; Scleractinia; Acroporidae.
GGCCUGAUAGCUCAACUGGCAGAGCACUGCACCAGCUUUGCAGAGGUCAGGGUUUUAGACCCGUUCAGGCCU